UAAAGAAAGCGUAAUAGCUCACUGGUCGAGUCGGCCUGCGCGGAAGAUGUAACGGGGCUAAACCAUGCACCGAAGCUGCGGCAGCGACACUAUGUGUUGUUGGGUAGGGGAGCGUUCUGUAAGCCUGUGAAGGUGUACUGUGAGGUAUGCUGGAGGUAUCAGAAGUGCGAAUGCUGACAUAAGUAACGAUAAAGCGGGUGAAAAGCCCGCUCGCCGGAA
RNAcentral lists this ribosomal RNA (219 nucleotides) under Escherichia coli. RNAcentral's name for it is "partial 23S ribosomal RNA". It matches the Rfam family "Bacterial large subunit ribosomal RNA", at positions 1124 to 1342 of the family's 2925-position model. The record is from RNAcentral. Lineage: Bacteria; Pseudomonadati; Pseudomonadota; Gammaproteobacteria; Enterobacterales; Enterobacteriaceae.